UACGAAGGGGGCUAGCGUUGCUCGGAAUCACUGGGCGUAAAGCGCACGUAGGCGGAUUGUUAAGUCAGGGGUGAAAUCCUGGAGCUCAACUCCAGAACUGCCUUUGAUACUGGCGAUCUUGAGUCCGGGAGAGGUGAGUGGAACUGCGAGUGUAGAGGUGAAAUUCGUAGAUAUUCGCAAGAACACCAGUGGCGAAGGCGGCUCACUGGCCCGGUACUGACGCUGAGGUGCGAAAGCGUGUGGAGCAAACAGG
RNAcentral lists this ribosomal RNA (253 nucleotides) under uncultured bacterium. RNAcentral describes it as "partial 16S ribosomal RNA". It matches the Rfam family "Bacterial small subunit ribosomal RNA", at positions 524 to 776 of the family's 1533-position model. The record is from RNAcentral.